RNAcentral lists this ribosomal RNA (253 nucleotides) under uncultured bacterium. RNAcentral describes it as "partial 16S ribosomal RNA". It matches the Rfam family "Bacterial small subunit ribosomal RNA", at positions 524 to 776 of the family's 1533-position model. The record is from RNAcentral.
UACGUAGGGCGCAAGCGUUGUCCGGAAUCAUUGGGCGUAAAGAGCUCGUAGGCGGUUUGUCGCGUCUGCCGUGAAAGUCCGGGGCUCAACUCCGGAUCUGCGGUGGGUACGGGCAGACUAGAGUGAUGUAGGGGAGACUGGAAUUCCUGGUGUAGCGGUGAAAUGCGCAGAUAUCAGGAGGAACACCGAUGGCGAAGGCAGGUCUCUGGGCAUUAACUGACGCUGGAGGAGCGAAAGCAUGGGAGCGAACAGG